AGUCCUUCGCCGUCCCUCGCCGUCCUUCGCCAUCGCACGCCACCGCACCCCAUCUCUCGAAAUCUGCAGACAUCUUGAUUUUUCCCACGCUGUCUGUCAGGUCUCCGCCGCCACUCGACGCCAGGGCGCCGGGUGAGUCCACAGCAGGGCGCAUGGUCGGCUCCACUCUCACCAUCGGGGGAAACUGAGGCCCCGGGGAAGGCGGCCAGAGAGGUCAGGCCCUGUCCUUGGUGCAGUGUCUCGUCCUCUUUGCCGGAGUGAGCCCCCCAGGAUUCGCGUGUCCUCGGGAAAGACACUGGCAGGCCUUGUGGGCUGUGCUGCACCUCGGACGGCUUCGCACCAGCCAGCGCCCUCUCUCUCCUGCAGCACUCUGAUCUGCACCCCCUGAGGGGCUUCCACUGUCCGCGGGGUGAGAAUGCCCCUGGGAGUGUCACAUGACUGCCGCCCCAUGUGUGUGAGAGGCGUCCUCUGGGAGAGCAUGGAUCCUGAGGUCCCAGGAACAUCCCGAGAGCCAAGUUCCCAGAUGCCAGCCAAGGGCCAUCUGACCUGUUUUGAAUCUCAAUUUCCUGAUACAGAAAACAAAGGAUUGUCAGCUGACCUCUGUCCUGUGUGCCCAGUGGCCCCAGGUGACGUGUCUUCAAGAAGAGGCUGAGCUGCGGUGCUUGUAAGGGUCUCAUUCUGUCACCCAGGCUGGAGUGCAGUGGUGCAAUGAUGGCUCACUGCAGCCUCGACCUGGGCUCAAGUGAUCCUCCACCUCAGCUUCCUGAGUAGCUGGGACCACAGAGUCAUGUGCUGUUCCUGGGGCUUGGAUGAUGUAGGGGAAGCAAGGUGAAAGUGGUAUCCCGUGGUUCCACGUUCUGUCCUGCUGUGGGGCUGUCCCUCACAUGCUUUCAGUGGCUGUUGCAGAGGAAGAGCCUCCGGAAAUCUGCGUGGGUAAAGUCUCAGCCUUAGAUCCAAGGACAGUCCAAGGAAGUCCUAAGACCAUGGAGUUGGUGAUCUGGGAUCUGGGUUUGCUGAUAUUUCUCACCGUGAAUCUCUUGGUGGUGUUUGUGGGCACGAGAGGGGCAGAGAAUGGAGAGUGAGGCUACCACAUGAAGCGUCACCAGAGCUGCUCCCUGCUGCCUGCUCAGAGCACCCCGGAUCCACUGUUCAAUCUGCACAAGAUUCGGGGUCCAGACAUGGGAGACUUCAGCUGCCUCAGAGGACCGUGGACAGGGAAGGCCAGCCUCGCAUCCCUCUGUCCAUGCCUGGAAUGACUUUAAUAACCAAGAGUUUUAUUUUUGAAUUUGUAGCUGUCGUUCACUUUUUACCCACCCAUUCAAUAAACCUUACAGAAUUGCUCCA
Homo sapiens (human) is the source of this 1344-nucleotide long non-coding RNA. RefSeq annotates it as small nucleolar RNA host gene 17. The transcript is spliced from 9 exons. The record is from RefSeq and is marked validated. NCBI's taxonomy places the organism in Eukaryota, Metazoa, Chordata, Mammalia, Primates, Hominidae.